CUAAGCUGAUACUGAGUCAGUGUGUGGCUGCAACCUGGUUCAAGUAAUCCAGGAUAGGCUUUGUGGACUAGGGUUGGCCUGUUCUUGGUUACUUGCACUGGGUUGCAGCUACUAAACAACUAAGAAGAUCAGAAGAG
Molecule: microRNA precursor, 137 nt
Organism: Danio rerio (zebrafish)
Lineage: Eukaryota; Metazoa; Chordata; Actinopteri; Cypriniformes; Danionidae
Gene: mir26a-3
Product: microRNA 26a-3
Source: Ensembl